Molecule: long non-coding RNA, 384 nt
Organism: Dreissena polymorpha
Lineage: Eukaryota; Metazoa; Mollusca; Bivalvia; Myida; Dreissenidae
Exons: 3
Source: RefSeq, a predicted model, not a curated record
GGUUAUGGUGGUGGUUGAAAGUGUCUGCCCGUCGGUCGAGGAUGGACAAAAUUACAGCAGAGACCGCAGACACAAGGGCAACACCCGAACCUGAUAAAUAUGAGUCGUAUUGGCAGAGACGUAAUGAAAAACAGACCAUCUAAUGGAAUAUAACCACCCCGUAAUCACUUGCCAACGAGUAAUGUCACUCCGAGACAUGUGGGUUGAUCAAACACGUUGGAGAAAUACUCGUAGAUUGGGACCAUCACAUUGAUAGUAAGGACGCUGCUCUGAAACAAACACGGUUCCACACAUGUGCUGUCAUCCAUUUGCUUCCAUUCAAUGGAUCCACCCUGGUGUACUGACCAGUCCUAGUCAAAUACAAGACCCACACCUAUGUACUCA